UGAGGAAUAUUGGUCAAUGGGCGCAAGCCUGAACCAGCCAUCCCGCGUGCAGGAUGACAGCCCUAUGGGUUGUAAACUGCUUUUAUACACCAAGAAAAAGCACGACGUGUCGUGCCCCGACGGUAGUGUAUGAAUAAGCAUCGA
This 144-nucleotide ribosomal RNA is filed under the name uncultured bacterium. Its description in RNAcentral is "partial 16S ribosomal RNA". It matches the Rfam family "Bacterial small subunit ribosomal RNA", at positions 355 to 496 of the family's 1533-position model. The record is from RNAcentral.